RNAcentral lists this small nuclear RNA (263 nucleotides) under Nannospalax galili (Upper Galilee mountains blind mole rat). Its description in RNAcentral is "7SK RNA (ENSNGAG00000005242.1)". It matches the Rfam family "7SK RNA". Rfam says of the family: 7SK was discovered as an abundant small nuclear RNA in the mid-70s but a possible function has only recently been suggested. The record is from RNAcentral. Lineage: Eukaryota; Metazoa; Chordata; Mammalia; Rodentia; Spalacidae.
UGUAAGGGUGAUUUGGCUGUGACACAUGCAUGCCAUCCCACUGAUCACCAGGGUUGCUUUGGCUGAUCUGGUUGGCUAGGUGGGCAUCCCCUACCUCUCUCAAAGGACAACCUUCCCCAAUAGAGGAGGAACAGUCUUCUGUCAAGGAUAUAUGAGUAGCUAUGCUCCCUUGUUAGAAUCUCCAAACAAGCUCUCAAUAAGCAAACCAAAAAGCUGGGGGGUGGGGUAGCUCAGGCCUGCUUACUUCGAGCCAGGCCCCGGCU